GCCGGGCGUGGUGGCUCAUGCCUGUAAUCCCAGCAUACUGGGAGGCCGAGGUGGGUGGAUCACCUGAGGUCAGGAGUUCAAGACCAGCCUGACCAACAUGGUGAAAUCCCAUCUCUA
This 117-nucleotide signal recognition particle RNA is filed under the name Gorilla gorilla gorilla (western lowland gorilla). RNAcentral describes it as "Metazoan signal recognition particle RNA". It matches the Rfam family "Metazoan signal recognition particle RNA". From Rfam's summary of the family: The signal recognition particle (SRP) is a universally conserved ribonucleoprotein. It is involved in the co-translational targeting of proteins to membranes. Lineage: Eukaryota; Metazoa; Chordata; Mammalia; Primates; Hominidae. The record is from Rfam by way of RNAcentral.